CCUACGGGUGGCUGCAGUGAGGAAUAUUGGUCAAUGGCCGGAAGGCUGAACCAGCCAAGCCGCGUGAAGGACGAAGGUGCCAAGCAUUUUAAACUUCUUUUGUCAAGGGACAAAAUCAGGCUCGAGAGCCUGACCGAGGGUACUUGAAGAAAAAGCAUCGGCUAACUCCGUGCCAGCAGCCGCGGUAAUACGUAGGGAGCAAGCGUUAUCCGGAUUUAUUGGGUGGAAAGGGUGCGUAGACGGGAAGUCAAGUUGGUUGUGAAAUCCCUCGGCUUAACUGAGGAACUGCAAACAAAACUAACUGUCUUGAGUGCUGGAGAGGAAAGUAGAAUUCCUAGUGUAGCGGUGAAAUGCGUAGAUAUUAGGAGGAACACCAGUGGCGAAGGCGACUUUCUGGACAGUAACUGACGUUGAGGCACGAAAGUGUGGGGAGCAAACAGGAUUAGAUACCCCAGUAGUC
This 460-nucleotide ribosomal RNA is filed under the name uncultured bacterium. RNAcentral describes it as "partial 16S ribosomal RNA". It matches the Rfam family "Bacterial small subunit ribosomal RNA", at positions 338 to 795 of the family's 1533-position model. The record is from RNAcentral.